RNAcentral lists this non-coding RNA (80 nucleotides) under bovine gut metagenome. RNAcentral's name for it is "Cyclic di-GMP-I riboswitch". It matches the Rfam family "c-di-GMP-I riboswitch aptamer". Rfam says of the family: GEMM was predicted in a large-scale screen for bacterial structured RNA regulatory elements. Genes associated with GEMM are involved in a diverse array of functions, including chemotaxis regulation, signal transduction, secretion and chitin. The record is from RNAcentral.
CGACAAAAGCAAAACUAGAGUAAUCUAGUGACGCAAAACUAUAGGGUCUUAACCAAUAAUUAAGAUAGCCAGCUGCCGAA